AUGCUCCAGAGAACUUCACAGCUCCUCUGCUCCACAGACCAUACUUCAGAUUCAUCAGUGUGCCCUCAGAAGUCCAUUUCUAGACAUAUCCUCAGUGCUCUCAGGCUCUUUGCCUGUUCUGUUAAAAUUGAGAGCCUACUUCUUCGGGAUGCCAACAUAUAUGAAGGCCAGACUCAUACGGAACAGUUGGCAUCCUGGACCUCAUAUCCAUCCUUGUACCCCACCGACGUGGCAGGAUCCCCACUCUGGGGUGACAACCUACAUCACCUGCCUGCUCUAUCGCCCUCCCACAGAAGGCUCUGAAAAGAUACAAGACUCCAGUGAGCUACUGCCCUUCGGUUCCCAGGCUCAUGCUGACUCAGGCCCACCUCUGGCCAUGCCCAAGCCUGUCUACUGCAGCCCUUUGUGUUCCAGUCUCUCCACUUGCCUCGGAGAUGGGGGAUCAAACAGAUCCUUGGAUGUUGACUGGACCCUGGUGACUGGGUCCCUGCUGCCUUUUGCUGACCCACCCUGUUAUCUAGCUACAGCUCCUGGCAAGGGACAGACCCUGGAUGCGACAUUCUUUCGUGGGCUACCAUCCGGAGGACCUGACAAGGACACUUUUGUGACUUUUUCCCCAUGCCAGGCCGUCUUGGUGAAAUAUCAAGCUAUCCAAAGCACAGGUUUCCCGGCUUCCAAGUACACCGGUCCUUAUUCUGGGGAUCCUAAGCAAGCAAUAUCUGAGGGGCCCUCCAGACCUUGAACCCAGGUUGCACAGCCCCAGGACCACCUUGCCAGGAUGCAGUGCCAGCCUGCUAUCCACUGUCCCCAUCUCCACAGGGAACAGUGUCUUGCCCUCUAUCUUGUCAUCACCCAGAAAAGCUAUGGCUCUUUGCUCCCACUGCCGCCUCGAGGAGCCCACAAGGGGUCUGCAUACCAUGUUGGGGAGCUGGGCAGCACCUACUUGAGGCAACAGGUACCCCAGAUCCCCUACAUGCCCCUCUUGGUAUAGACAGUUAUUCCUAUUCUUCUGCACCCUCCCAGCACCCUCACCAGGGCACAAGCUGGAGCCCCCUCUUGCCCCAAGUUGCCCACUGGAUUUUGUCCCUAAACUCUGGGUUUUCCUUAUGCCAGGGAUGACCUCUCUCUCUCUCUAUGGGGCAUCCUCAGGGCUUUGGGGGAAUACUACCCUCGCAUUCCCAGAACAAUGUGCAUGCAGCCUUGCCACAGCCCUGUGCCUUCUAGGGAACAUGCAAGCCUUUGCCAGCCAGCCGACCAUGCUCUGAGCCUGUGCGACCUGCAGAGAAGCCAACACCAGAAGCUCAAGAGAAGAUGUGGCUGCCCAGCUGCAGGAAAGAGCAACUACAGCCCAGGCCCAAUGAGCGUCCUGGGGUACCUACUGUUAUCCUAGACAGUCCAGUUUCCUGCACCUCACCAGCACUGCAUGCCUGUGCCAAGGAGCACCAGUCUCUUCCACAGAAAGAUGCUAGGCCUCCCAGCUCUAAACCAAUGCUGGUGAUUGACCACGUUUUUUUUAGGCUGGCCCCCUACAGUGCCUGCCUGGAUGUAUAGACAUUGGAGCCCACAGCUGAGCAGGACUCAGCUCCAGGUACCAGUAAGAGCUAAGACAAAGAUUACAAGGGGGAAUCUGCCUGUUCAGGAUGGGGCCUCCAGGUUUCACUGCUCUCUUCAUGAGGAGGUGGCUCUGGACUUGAGUGUGAAGAAGUUGGUGGCAGAGGGUGUCCCUGUCAAGGUCUGUAGUCCUGAGGUGAAUGAAAAUCCCACCGAGGCUGUGGAUGGACUAGGUAUAGAAAACACAGUGUCAGGUCUGCCUGGCCUAAAAAUGAUGGUCACAGAAAUGCCUGAAGUAUCUGCAGAAGCCACACCAAGGACCAACUUCAUAGCUCUGUGGCCUUCAUGUUCUGAAAAUUCAAGAUAUUCAGUCCUGCACCAUUACCUGAAGUUAUUGACCCAUCUUCCCCUACCCCAGCUCCUGUCCCUGCAUCUGCACCUUCCCCUGUACAACCUGCACCCAGUCCCUCAUCUGGGUCCAUGGGACUGCAGAUUCUCAUUCAGUCUUUGCUGGUGGUGGCAUGCUUCAACCUGACCCUGCCUAGCCCACUAGCCAGAGCCUUGGCCUCCCCGGUGCCAGCCUCUGCUCUACCUGCAUCAACAGCUCCUGCUCCUGCUUCAGCCUCAGGCCCUGCUCCAGCCUCUGUUCAAGUUCCCACUGCAGCCCCAGCGGACUCUCCAGAACAGCACUUUACAGGGCUGCACACAUCCAUUUGUGAUGCCAUCUCGGGCUCUGUGGCCCAUUCUCCACCAGAAAAAAUGCGGGAGUGGCUUGAGACAACUGGGCUAUGGGGCCAGGCUGCAUGGCAAGACUUCCAGGGUGGUCAGAGGCUACUAGGCAAGCUGCUGUCCCAGCUGCAGAAGUUCAUGUGCACACAGUGGUGCCCAUUCCCUCAUGUAGUACGAGCUGGUCUCAUCUUUGUGUGCACACAGCAGUGCCCAUUCCCUCAUGUAGUAUGGUCUGGUGCCAUCUUUGUGCCCAUCCAUUUGGUGAAUGAGCCUCUCUUUCCAAAGCUGCCACCGGUCUCUGUGGACCAUGUGCUGCAGGACCACCGUGUGGAACUACGGCCCACCACUCUGUCACAGGAGCAUGUGCUAUGUGGACACAAACGUGCCCUACACAGCUGUACCUUAUGCAAAUUGAAACUGCUGGCACUGUGUCAGCAGCCUGACAUCUACCCUGACCUGCUGGGCCUACAAUGGCAUGACUGUGUCCACCGCCACCUGGGUGGCUUUGACAAUGAGGCCAGAACUCUAUCUCCAUCAGAACCCAUGGUGACCAGAGAUGAGCCAGAAAGCCAAGCCUUGGCUGAGAAGUUGCCAGCCCCCAAGGCCAAGAAGCCAGGGAGAAAGUCACCAAUGCCUGGCCCUAAGAAAGCAGAGGCAACCACUGGGGAAGGGGCAUGUAAUCCCUCACCUAAGUCUGGGGGUAGCACCAGCCCACCAGGUCCUACUUUGAGUGCCUGCAUCCUGUUAGAAACCGCCUGGCUCAGUGGUGUGGCACUGCCUACUUGGGGCCACAAGGUCUCCAGAGCAGAUUAGCCUUUGCCUCACCCCCAGCUCUUGGGCAGUCAGACCUAUCUGUAG
Mastomys coucha (southern multimammate mouse) is the source of this 3138-nucleotide RNA transcript. RefSeq lists it as uncharacterized. The transcript is spliced from 3 exons. NCBI's taxonomy places the organism in Eukaryota, Metazoa, Chordata, Mammalia, Rodentia, Muridae. The record is from RefSeq and is a predicted model, not a curated record.